This 498-nucleotide ribosomal RNA is filed under the name uncultured bacterium. RNAcentral describes it as "partial 16S ribosomal RNA". It matches the Rfam family "Bacterial small subunit ribosomal RNA", at positions 30 to 523 of the family's 1533-position model. The record is from RNAcentral.
AUUGAACGCUGGCGGCAUGCCUUACACAUGCAAGUCGAACGGCAGCGGACCUUCGGGUGCCGGCGAGUGGCGAACGGGUGAGUAAAGUAUCGGAACGUACCUUUCAGUGGGGGAUAACGUAGCGAAAGUUACGCUAAUACCGCAUAUUCUGUGAGCAGGAAAGCAGGGGAUCGCAAGACCUUGCGCUGAUUGAGCGGCCGAUAUCAGAUUAGCUAGUUGGUGAGGUAAAGGCUCACCAAGGCGACGAUCUGUAGCGGGUCUGAGAGGAUGAUCCGCCACACUGGAACUGAGACACGGUCCAGACUCCUACGGGAGGCAGCAGUGGGGAAUUUUGGACAAUGGGGGCAACCCUGAUUCAGCCAUGCCGCGUGAGUGAAGAAGGCCUUCGGGUUGUAAAGCUCUUUCGGCCGGGAAGAAAUCGCGCCAGUUAAUACCUGGUGUGGAUGACGGUACCGGAAUAAGAAGCACCGGCUAACUACGUGCCAGCCGCCGCAGUAA